CAUGGAGCGCGUUAUAGUGCUAUUGCAUCAAGUGCACGUUUCAACGCUGACAACGACAAGUGGUGUUGCAUCAGCCGUGCCGGCUAGAUGUGCGUAGUUAAGCCUAGAUAUUUUUGGACAAUUUUCGGUGUUUUUACACCGUCAACCUCACCUUAUUUAUUAGUUUUAACGAAUAUACAACUCCGUGGCUUGGUGUCAGAAUCAAGUGUACAACAAGGACCUAAUCCGCCUUAACAUGUUUUAUUUAUGAUGUUUGAACACACCUUAUCAACCCUUUGGGGGCCAGCGCCAUAUUAGCAAAGAAGAAGAAGAAGUGCUAUUGCAUCAUUCCAUUUUUGUUUUUCGACCGUGAUGCUACUUUGUUUGCAACUUGCAGAUUGCAAUUUGCAAAUUUGUUGUUUUAUUUUAUCGUUCUGGAGUUUGAAUACUACGCAGUUGGCAGUGCAAGACGCGGCUAAAAAAAGAAACGAAUAUAUAUUGGCAAUAAUUGCUGGGACAGUUGGAUUACUCAGAUCUGGACAGCAGCAAAGGGAAUGAUGUAAUAGCGCAGUCGGCCGUAGUAUCACUUUGUUUGCAACAAAUGA
This is a long non-coding RNA of Pseudomyrmex gracilis, 584 nucleotides long. RefSeq lists it as uncharacterized. The transcript is spliced from 3 exons. NCBI's taxonomy places the organism in Eukaryota, Metazoa, Arthropoda, Insecta, Hymenoptera, Formicidae. The record is from RefSeq and is a predicted model, not a curated record.